RNAcentral lists this ribosomal RNA (322 nucleotides) under uncultured Rhodobacter sp. RNAcentral's name for it is "bacterial SSU rRNA". It matches the Rfam family "Bacterial small subunit ribosomal RNA", at positions 8 to 360 of the family's 1533-position model. The record is from RNAcentral. Lineage: Bacteria; Pseudomonadati; Pseudomonadota; Alphaproteobacteria; Rhodobacterales.
AGAGUUUGAUCAUGGCUCAGAACGAACGCUGGCGGCAGGCCUAACACAUGCAAGUCGAGCGCCCCGCAAGGGGAGCGGCGGACGGGUGAGUAACGCGUGGGAACGUGCCCUUUGGUACGGAAUAGUCUCGGGAAACUGGGGGUAAUACCGUAUAAGCUCUUCGGGGGAAAGAUUUAUCGCCAAAAGAUCGGCCCGCGUUGGAUUAGGUAGUUGGUGGGGUAAUGGCCUACCAAGCCGACGAUCCAUAGCUGAUUUGAGAGGAUGAUCAGCCACACUGGGACUGAGACACGGCCCAGACUCCUACGGGAGGCAGCAGUGGGGA